Molecule: ribosomal RNA, 263 nt
Filed under: uncultured bacterium
Lineage: Bacteria
Description: partial 16S ribosomal RNA
Rfam family: Bacterial small subunit ribosomal RNA
Source: RNAcentral
UUAGUGGCGGACGGGUGAGUAACGCGUGGGUAACCUGCCUCACACUGGGGGAUAACAGUUAGAAAUAGCUGCUAAUACCGCAUAAGCGCACGGUUCCGCAUGGAACAGUGUGAAAAACUCCGGUGGUGUGAGAUGGACCCGUGUCUGAUUAGCCAGUUGGCGGGGUAACGGCCUACCAAGGCGACGAUCAGUAGCCGGCCUGAGAGGGUGAACGGCCACAUUGGGACUGAGACACGGCCCAAACUCCUACGGGAGGCAGCAUG